This 338-nucleotide unclassified non-coding RNA is filed under the name soil metagenome. RNAcentral describes it as "partial contains 5.8S ribosomal RNA, internal transcribed spacer 2, and large subunit ribosomal RNA". The stretch from base 1 to 120 matches the Rfam family "5.8S ribosomal RNA", at positions 35 to 154 of the family's 154-position model. The record is from RNAcentral.
GAUGAAGAACGCAGCGAAAUGCGAUAAUUGAUGUGAAUUGCAGAAUUCCGUGAAUCAUCGAAUCUUUGAACGCACAUUGCGCCCGCCAGUAUUCUGGCGGGCAUGCCUGUCUGAGCGUCAUUUCAACCCUCAAGCAACUUCUGCUUGGUGUUGGGGAUCGGCCGUCAAACGCCGCCCCCGAAAUCUAUUGGCGAUCUCGCUGUAGCUUCCUAUGCGUAGUAGUAACAUCUCGCAUCUGGAGAGCGGCGCGGUCAUGCCGUAAAACACCCAACUUCUCAGGUUGACCUCAGAUCAGGUAGGAAUACCCGCUGAACUUAAGCAUAUCAAUAAGCAGAGGA